AUGUCGGUUAGGUUUUUUGGUGCGUUUGUGCUUGUCGGCGGGACGGUGCAAGGCGCAACUCCGACGCGCUCCAUCUUCUUCCUGCUCCUCUGCUUCGGCUACUGUAUGGGACAUGGCCAUGGCUACAUUGAUCCAUACAUCCAUCUAGAAAUAAGAAUAGAAGCUCCUCAGGCCGCACCACAGCGAUUUGGGAUUCCUGGCCGUCGGAUCGGGUGGCUUGAUCGGAUCUGGGCCGUCGGAGCGACCCCUCCUGCCCCGCCGGGGGCAUUCUCGCCAUUUCGCUUUGUCUGUGGCGGUGGCGUUCGUGCUAGGGCGAUGAUGAUUAACUGUGGCUGGAAUGAGUGUGCCUUUGAGCAAUCAUGGCACCUAUGGGUAUCAAGUUGGAUCCUCCCUGUUGUCUCUAGAAUCCUUUUUGAUCCUGUGAUACCUAUUGAUCUGUCCUUGGAUGUGUUUAUAGCCAUCUUCCAUAAAUCUGAGCCAUUGAGCGGACAUUUCCUUUUGUUUUCUUUGGUUUGUUCUGAAGCUUUCCCCAAUUCUAUCUGUCACCACUGCAUUUUGUGGAUCAUGCACCAGACUAAAUAUGAAUGUGUAACUGAAUGUUCUUUUCUAUUCAUGGUUGAUUCACUGUUGAACUGUACAUAUUUAGGACGCUGUCAACCAAAGGCGAGAGCAGCUACAUCUGUUGCAAGCACGGCCUUGACACUGGCGGCCGGACAACUCGAUCAUGGCGUCCACUCUAGCGUGCAGUUCAUCGGAGCCGUCACGCAGAUAGUGACGACCUUUGGGCCAACAACACAUGGACAUUUUAGAGAUAAACUAUUGCAUCAGAAAUUUGCUUGGCGAAGAUCUGGGACACUCGGGUACAUUAGACCCAUGAGGAUGGUCAUUGGCCAUAUAAUGCCACUAGAUGUAGUGUCUGAUAGCAUCUUGUAUUGCUUCAGUUUUAAUCAAGUAAACUGGAGCAGCUCAAAAUUUUCUCCUUUUUUGCCUUCAAAGGACCAAGCUCAUCUCAAAUUUAGGAGCACGGCUUUUGCUCUCGCCACUGUUGUGCUCCUCCUCUUCCUCCUUGGCCAUGCGCUCAAGUGGGAGGCGGAGCUUGCCUCCCCCAAUGACGACGGCUUCGACCCCAAGUGGAAGUGGGAGGCCAAGUCCAAGCCAUGCACCGCCGGCAAGGUCGAAACCAAGUGGGGCGCCGAGGAAGCCAACGAGGAUGACAAGAAGCCGGCAAGAAAGUGCGUCCAGAUCAAGGAGAUCCCCAUCGGCUGCGACAUCCAGAUCGAGCAUUACCUACUUGACCAAAACGUUCGGACAGGCACCCUCGCGCCAAGGCACGUUGCUGAUCUAGUCACUAUUAUAGCUUGUCCUUUUUGCCGUAUGCCUGGUGGCCCGUGUUCUUCUGUUGAUUCUUCUGUAGAUGGGUUUAGUGUGGUCCUGGAUCGGCGUUGUUGGAGGCGUGUUUAUGUUCCGUGCAGUGUUAGAGCUCAUCUUGCUCCUUACAUCGAGGAGUGUAGAGCUUUAGCCAUAAGGAGGGGUGACGAAGAUACUGAUCUUGCUCUUCAGUGCAAUGAGGGUUAUUUGUAUGGUGUUCUGUUUAGUCAUGGUCGGGGGAGGAGCAAAUUUCAUGUGGUAUACAAGGACAUGCUCGCGUGUGGCAAGUUGGACGACGAUAAUCCCUUGUCUCAUUCCUCGUACUUUUUGAUGAUCCUCUCCACGGUCCUUGGGUCGUUGGUGUACACCACCUCCAGCACGGUUGUACUGUGGGUAGUGAUGUGUUCGGUGAGUGUUGUUAGUUUCCCGUCGUCCAUGGCUGGAGGUGUGCGGUGGUGA
This 1827-nucleotide ribosomal RNA is filed under the name Triticum aestivum (bread wheat). RNAcentral's name for it is "partial small subunit ribosomal RNA". Lineage: Eukaryota; Viridiplantae; Streptophyta; Magnoliopsida; Poales; Poaceae. The record is from RNAcentral.